RNAcentral lists this ribosomal RNA (156 nucleotides) under leaf litter ascomycete strain its284. Its description in RNAcentral is "5.8S ribosomal RNA". It matches the Rfam family "5.8S ribosomal RNA". From Rfam's summary of the family: 5.8S ribosomal RNA (5.8S rRNA) is a component of the large subunit of the eukaryotic ribosome. It is transcribed by RNA polymerase I as part of the 45S precursor that also contains 18S and 28S rRNA. Functionally, it is thought that 5.8S rRNA may be involved in ribosome translocation. The record is from RNAcentral. Lineage: Eukaryota; Fungi; Ascomycota.
CAACUUUCAACAACGGAUCUCUUGGUUCUGGCAUCGAUGAAGAACGCAGCGAAAUGCGAUAAGUAGUGUGAAUUGCAGAAUUCCGUGAAUCAUCGAAUCUUUGAACGCACAUUGCGCCUAUUGGUAUUCCAAUAGGCAUGCCUGUUCGAGCGUCAU